GGUCUUCUUUGGUGAUCUCAUCGACUGACUUCACCUCAUACUGGCUCCUCCUGGAAAUGUGGCUCUUCCUCUUUUUCCGUCCCUUACCAACAUGUUCAUCAUCCACCUGCCCAAUCACAACCAACAGAUUGCAGGAAAACUCCACAGUGCACCUUUACGCCACAAGACAACUUCUUAGAUCAAUUUUCACACUUUACACCAAAGGGAGCACCACUCCAUCAGUGGACAUCCUUGAUCACUAAGUGAAUGUUGUGGGAACAAUGAUUUGUAGUUCAGCUGUGUCACUAAGCAGCUUGCCUGGAUCACCAGAGUUGAGGCUGGCUGGCAUUGAAGUAAACUUAUCUUCUUGAGUUUACACUGGCAGAUACCCAAGGACGUCCUUAUCACUACCAGCCUGUGCAACUUCUCAGCCAUGGCAGGGCAAAACCAAUGACAAAGUAAAGUGGAAAAGGAACAAACACUUAACCCUUGUGCUUUGUUGACAUUGGCUUUACUUCUUCAUUGUUUGGCAUCCCAGAGAACCUGAACAGAAUGCUGUAUGUGUAAUAAAUAAAUAAAUAUUCAUUCAUUCAAUAA
This is a long non-coding RNA of Siniperca chuatsi (mandarin fish), 576 nucleotides long. RefSeq lists it as uncharacterized. The record is from RefSeq and is a predicted model, not a curated record. Lineage: Eukaryota; Metazoa; Chordata; Actinopteri; Centrarchiformes; Sinipercidae. The transcript is spliced from 2 exons.